Molecule: ribosomal RNA, 253 nt
Filed under: uncultured bacterium
Lineage: Bacteria
Description: partial 16S ribosomal RNA
Rfam family: Bacterial small subunit ribosomal RNA
Source: RNAcentral
UACGAAGGGGGCUAGCGUUGCUCGGAAUCACUGGGCGUAAAGGGUGCGUAGGCGGGUCUUUAAGUCAGGGGGGAAAUCCUGGAGCUCAACUCCAGAACUGCCUUUGAUACUGAAGAUCUUGAGUUCGGGAGAGGUGAGUGGAACUGCGAGUGUAGAGGUGAAAUUCGUAGAUAUUCGCAAGAACACCAGUGGCGAAGGCGGCUCACUGGCCCGGUACUGACGCUGAGGCACGAAAGCGUGGGGAGCAAACAGG